RNAcentral lists this long non-coding RNA (863 nucleotides) under Pan troglodytes (chimpanzee). RNAcentral describes it as "long non-coding RNA NONPTRT015621". Lineage: Eukaryota; Metazoa; Chordata; Mammalia; Primates; Hominidae. The record is from RNAcentral.
UAUUAUGGAUAAUGUUCUGUGUGCCCUAGAGAAGAAUGUGCAUUUGGCUGCUGUUGGCUGGACAUUUCCGUAUAUGUCUACUUGGUUUAUUUGGUUUAUAAUGUUGUUCGAGUCAGUUGUCUGUUACUGAUUUUUUGGUGGAUAUUUUAUCCUUUAUUGAAAUGGGGUAUUAAAGUUUCUUACUGUUAUUGUAUUACUGUCAAUUUCUCCAUUCACAUCUGUCAAACAUUUCUUUUUUUUAUUUUUUUAUUUUAUUAUUAUUAUACUUUAAGUUUUAGGGUACAUGUGCACAAUGUGCAGGUUAGUUACAUAUGUAUACAUGUGCCAUGCUGGUGUGCUGCACCCAUUAACUCAUCAUUUAGCAUUAGGUAUAUCUCCUAAUGCUAUCCCUCCCCCCUCCCCCACCCCACAACAGUCCCCAGAGUGUGAUGUUCCCCUUCCUGUGUCCAUGUGUUCUCAUUGUUCAAUUCCCACCUAUGAGUGACAAUAUGCGGUGUUUGGUUUUUUGUUCUUGUGAUAGUUUACUGAGAAUGAUGAUUUCCAAUUUCAUCCAUGUACCUGCAAAGGACAUGAACUCAUCAUUUUUUAUGGCUGCAUAGUAUUCCAUGGUGUAUAUGUGCUGCAUUUUCUUAAUCCAGUCUAUCAUUGUUGGACAUUUGGGUUGGUUCCAAGUCUUUGCUAUUGUGAAUAGUGCCGCAAUAAACAUAUGUGUGCAUAUGUCUUUAUAGCAGCAUGAUUUAUAGUCCUUUGGGUAUAUACCCAGUAAUGGGAUGGCUGGGUCAAAUGGUAUUUCUAGUUCUAGAUGCCUGAGGAAUCACCACACUGACUUCCACAAUGGUUGAAUGUCAAUUUUGUCUUUUGUU